AUUGAACGCUGGCGGCAUGCCUUACACAUGCAAGUCGAACGGUAACAGGUCUUCGGAUGCUGACGAGUGGCGAACGGGUGAGUAAUACAUCGGAACGUGCCUAGUAGUGGGGGAUAACUACUCGAAAGAGUGGCUAAUACCGCAUGAGAUCUACGGAUGAAAGCAGGGGAUCGCAAGACCUUGUGCUACUAGAGCGGCCGAUGGCAGAUUAGGUAGCUGGUGGGAUAAAAGCUUACCAAGCCGACGAUCUGUAGCUGGUCUGAGAGGACGAUCAGCCACACUGGGACUGAGACACGGACCAGACUCCUACGGGAGGCAGCAGUGGGGAAUUUUGGACAAUGGGCGCAAGCCUGAUCCAGCAAUGCCGCGUGCAGGAUGAAGGCCUUCGGGUUGUAAACUGCUUUUGUACGGAACGAAAAGCCCCGGGUUAAUACCCUGGGGUCAUGACGGUACCGUAAGAAUAAGCGCCGGCUAACUACGUGCCAGCAGCCGCCGUAA
This 498-nucleotide ribosomal RNA is filed under the name uncultured bacterium. RNAcentral describes it as "partial 16S ribosomal RNA". It matches the Rfam family "Bacterial small subunit ribosomal RNA", at positions 30 to 523 of the family's 1533-position model. The record is from RNAcentral.